UACGUAGGUGGCGAGCGUUGUCCGGAUUUACGGGGCGUAAAGGGCGUGCAGGCGGCUUGUUAAGUGCAGGGUGAAAGCUCCCGGCUCAACUGGGAGAGGUCCUUGCAUACUGGCGAACUCGAGGGAGGCAGAGGAAAGUGGAAUUCCCGGUGUAGUGGUGAUAUGCGUAGAUAUCGGGAGGAACACCUGUGGCGAAGGCGGCUUUCUGGGCCUUACCUGACGCUGAGACGCGAAAGCGUGGGGAGCGAACCGG
Molecule: ribosomal RNA, 253 nt
Filed under: uncultured bacterium
Lineage: Bacteria
Description: partial 16S ribosomal RNA
Rfam family: Bacterial small subunit ribosomal RNA
Source: RNAcentral